UGUGAGCUUCGAUGGUCAGUCUGCUCCUGAUAGAAUCUCUGCCAAGGCAGGGGUAAAGGAGUUGAGAAGAAUUGCACCCUUGAGAAGGUGGAAACUUGUGGAGACUGAUGCUGAUUUAUCGAAAUUGGAUUUUGAAACAAAGCACGUCAUGUCACUAAUAAAUCCUGCAAAUACUUACAUGGACCUUAACAUAGGAAUAGCUUUAUGGCUGGC
Alnus glutinosa is the source of this 213-nucleotide long non-coding RNA. RefSeq lists it as uncharacterized. The record is from RefSeq and is a predicted model, not a curated record. Lineage: Eukaryota; Viridiplantae; Streptophyta; Magnoliopsida; Fagales; Betulaceae. The transcript has 3 exons.